GACGAACGCUGGCGGCGUGCUUAACACAUGCAAGUCGAACGGAAAGGCCUCUUUCGGGGGGUACUCGAGUGGCGAUCGGGUGAGUAACACGUGAGUAACCUGCCCUUGACUUUGGGAUAACUUCAGGAAACUGGGGCUAAUACCGGAUAGGAGCUCCUGCUGCAUGGUGGGGGUUGGAAAGUUUCGGCGGUUGGGGAUGGACUCGCGGCUUAUCAGCUUGUUGGUGGGGUAGUGGCUUACCAAGGCUUUGACGGGUAGCCGGCCUGAGAGGGUGACCGGCCACAUUGGGACUGAGAUACGGCCCAGACUCCUACGGGAGGCAGCAGUGGGGAAUAUUGCACAAUGGGUGGAAGCCUGAUGCAGCAACGCCGGGUGCGGGAGGACGGCCUUCGGGUUGGAAACCGCUUUCGCUCAUGACGAAGCUUUGUGUGACGGUAGUGGGUAAAGAAGCACCGGCUAACUACGUG
Molecule: ribosomal RNA, 467 nt
Filed under: uncultured bacterium
Lineage: Bacteria
Description: partial 16S ribosomal RNA
Rfam family: Bacterial small subunit ribosomal RNA
Source: RNAcentral